AUCGUCUGUAAUCGGCACCAGUUUCGCUCAUUAAAACUUAAAAUUUAGUUUAAGAGCAGUUUAAGAAAAAAUAUAUAGCACUGUGCAGAAUGAUGCGCAAACGCCGCCGUUAUGCUGGAAGCCUUUUCAGAUGCGGGGAAUCUCUUGAAAUUCGAAGCGACGUUUAACAAUUGCCAACAUCUCACAGUCGCACAAACACUUCAAUGGGAGUAGUUUUUUUUCCCCCAUGAGUUAAUAAUGACAUUAAUUCAAAAUCGAGCGAAGUUACGGGGAAUUUGCACGGAGAUUUCAGCUUUUAUGCAUCAGUGUUUCUGCAGGCUUCUCAGACUCAAAAAUGUUUGGAUCGCGCUGCCAUCUAGCGUACGUUGUGGAAUUACAUCCACAUCACACCCCAACGGGCGAGCCAUCAAACUUGCAUUUUUAAGCGCUUAAAUAAAUCUUAGAUAAUAAUUAAAAAGCUCGAACGUGCGUAGAAUUAUCUUGUGUACUUUUGUAGUUCAUAAAAAGUCAAUUUCGCAGGUUAAAGAUAUCGGAUUGGCAUUAAUGAAUUAUUAAGAAAACAUAAACAUACAUUGAUUAGAGCAUCAUAAUUCAUAAUUAAUGUUUAAACAGUGCUUCCUAAUUAAAAUGACGCUCUGUUUAUAUAAAACCAAGACACAAAAAAUGCCAAUUGUAUUCAUAAGCUUAGAAAAUAACAACCCAACACUCAAAGACAUAAAAGUACUUUAACACAACAAAGCACGCACAAGCACGUCUAGACUCAAACAGAGAUAUAAGAAGAUAUAACAUAGCGUUAAUAUAUGGAAGUGCCUCUGUUUGAAUGCGCAUUCAGGAGGGAUGGCUUGUUUUUUAAGUAUUCAAUAAGAGAGCUCUCUCUCCCCGUCCCUGUCUCGGACACACACCGUGGAAACUCUCCGGCCAUGUCUCCAGCACUCUGAAAAGGUGAAACCAAUAAGAUUAAAUCGGACAAUGCAUUUUUUGCCCCCUUUCUUCCCCCUUUGGUGUAUCAUUAAGAUUUAACUCCGCACAUUUUGGUAAAAGAAUGGGGGUCCGCAUGAGGGAAGAAGAGGAGAGAGAAGAGAGGAAAAGAGUGAGAGGGGGAAGCGAAUAGGAAGCGGGGUAGAUAUAUUAGAGAGGCUCUGAUAGAAACCUGCAUGUGGAGAAAGUGGACGGGUGGGAUGUUGGAAGAAGGAGAAGAAGCACCGGCGCAGGAGCGGCUGCUGUGCAGUCACAGAGAAGGCUCACAGCGCUGUAGCUGCAGGAGGCGUCCGAACAAACGCCGAAGGAGGACGGAGAGGCUGGAAUGGGGUUUUCCUUAAUGCUGUUUGAUUUUAGGAAGAGGUUGUCCCUAUUUAGUAGGAUAGGGGUUUAUGUGCUGGAUAAAUUGAGGAUUAACAUUUGAUUCAUCCUUAUUGCCCUAUAGAAAUCCCAUUUCCAAUUUUAUAUCGGCUUCUUUGAAAUGAAGAUGUGGAAAAGAGUGUAGUUUGAUUUUCUGGGAAUCUAAGAUCAACAACUUUCACGGCAGGAAAUCAAAAUGAAAUUAUUUUGAAGUGAUAGUGAUAUUCAAAUGUAAAAACCUAUCAUGGAUUCUGCUGGUUUAACUGUGACAAGAUUAAAAUAAUCAGUGACUAAAUAAUAGCUUUACAAAGUUUGUUUGUUCCCUUUACUUGUUGUAAGCACAUAAGUAACAUUAUAUGAAAACACAAAUUUCCAUAAUCUCUUCUAAAAAUGCACCAAUCAGGAGUUUCUGACAAUACUGAAUUUCAAUUUUGAUCAAUUUUCAGAUCUGCCAAUAAUUUUUUCUGGUCAGUUCUAUGACAGAUAUGAGUCAGGGGAAAAAGUCAGAUUUCCCCUGAAUCUGACUUUUUCUACUAUUGAAUGUUAAUAGAAUACUGUGAUUAUAUAUUGGGCCACACAAGAACUAACAUCAUUCUCACUUGAUUUCAAGAGUUUCACUCUUUGAAUGCCAUUCACAAUUUUACAUAAAUUUUUUUCCAUCAUGUAAAUUUUUGGACUUAUUUCACGCUUUAUGGCUGGACAUGACUCAAGGUGUUCCACAGCACAAAGAAAGAGGCUACAGUUUGCUUUAGCCCCAUUGCAAUAUAUCAGGAAAAACAAGCAGAGAAUGAACAUUAUUGAUGAUUUGUGCAGACGGACCCCAGACGAUCUUGAAUUAUGUGUGAGAGCAAAAGAUAGACACUUGCACAUUGCUGUGUUUACUUGGGUCUUGUGUAUGUGUGUGUGUGUGUCAGUUUUCCCUCAGAUGUUCCCUGUGACCUUUGACCCUGGAGCCGGGGUCAAACCCUGACAAAUGAGACGGUUGAGCUCUGAGCAGAGCAGCAAACAUUCCACAACCAUCUUCUGUCCUCCUUCUCCUACUCCUUACAUCACUCACCCCACUCUCUCUCCAUCUCCUUUUUAACUACAACGGGAGCAAAUGAUGUUUAAAACAAACAAUGAUGAUGUUGAAUAAGUUUAACAUCUGCCUUUUUAUAUUAAAUCAGGGAAAUCAUGUGAUCUGAGAGAAGUAAAUGCUGCGAAAGAGUUGAAAUUUUACAACUAUGCACUUUAACAACACACUCCCUGUUGUGUCUAUGAGUAUGUGCGUGGGUGCGCGCGUUUGUGUGUGUGUGUGUGUGGAAAGACUGUCAGUGAUGUCAAGGAUGAGAAAUGUUGCUGUGAGGUUUUUUACACACGCUGCUGGCUCCAGCAUUUCCGGCAACAUUUCUCACUCUGCCUCCCUCACACCAUCCGCUCUCCUGCAAUAUCCCGACAUUUUUCUGUCCUUUCCCUUCUCUUCCCUGCUCCCUCCCCUCCUCACUUUCAAUCCCCACUUCAAACUUCCUCUCCUUGUGCCAUCCUACUCAUCCUAAUCUCAGCCCUUUUCCUUUCUCUCUCUCUUUCUCUCUCCCCUUCUUGCUCGCGCUCUCUCUCUCUCACACGCAUACUCUCUCCACCCACUAUUCUCUCUGAUUUUCUGGACACAGAAUGCAACCACCUGUGUCUUUAGGAUGAAUGUGAGGAGUUAUCCACAUUACUCCAGUGAGAGCUGCUUAAGGUAAGUUGGUUGUUAUUUAUUCUACAUUUUUUGAAUGAAAUUGCUGUAACAAGCCUAACUGCCCUUUACAAAUGGAUCAGUUACUGCUGUGAUAACUGUGAUAACAGUUGUCUAAUUACGAACGUCAGCAGAGCAGCCAGUGUCGGAAAAGACAUGCAAUGCAGUAAGACGGUGUGACGCUAUUGAACUUGUACAAUGAUGUAAUGUAACAGUUACUGGAAUGCAGCUCCACGCAGCACAUAAUCCUAAUAAAAACAAAACACCAAUAUA
This is a long non-coding RNA of Gambusia affinis (western mosquitofish), 3328 nucleotides long. RefSeq lists it as uncharacterized. The record is from RefSeq and is a predicted model, not a curated record. Lineage: Eukaryota; Metazoa; Chordata; Actinopteri; Cyprinodontiformes; Poeciliidae. The transcript is spliced from 2 exons.